GACGAACGCUGGCGGCGUGCUUAACACAUGCAAGUCGAACGAUGAAGCAGAGAAACGCGCACUUCGGUUCAAAUUUCACUUCGGAUUAGUGGCAGACGGGUGAGUAACGCGUGAGCAACCUACCUCUUACAAAGGGAUAGCCUCGGGAAACCGUGAUUAAUACCAUAUGACACAUUCAUAAGGCAUCUUAAGAAUGUUAAAGCUACGGCGGUAAGAGAUGGGCUCGCGUCCCAUUAGCUAGUUGGUGAGGUAACGGCCCACCAAGGCGACGAUGGGUAACCGGCCUGAGAGGGUGAACGGUCACAUUGGAACUGAGACACGGUCCAAACUCCUACGGGAGGCAGCAGUGGGGAAUAUUGCACAAUGGAGGGAACUCUGGUGCAGCGACGCCGCGUGAGCGAUGAAGGAAUUCGUUUCGUAAAGCUCUGUUCUAUGGGAAGAAAAGGACUGUACCAUAGGAGAAAGCCCCGGCUAAAUACGUG
Molecule: ribosomal RNA, 482 nt
Filed under: uncultured bacterium
Lineage: Bacteria
Description: partial 16S ribosomal RNA
Rfam family: Bacterial small subunit ribosomal RNA
Source: RNAcentral